RNAcentral lists this ribosomal RNA (780 nucleotides) under Triticum aestivum (bread wheat). RNAcentral describes it as "partial small subunit ribosomal RNA". The record is from RNAcentral. Lineage: Eukaryota; Viridiplantae; Streptophyta; Magnoliopsida; Poales; Poaceae.
AUGGAGCUCACGAGCAGCACGAUAUUGAAGCCGGUGCCGCACCCGCUCGUUGGCGAGAAGGUCCCGCUGACCAUCUUCGACCGCGCUGCCUCAGACCUGUUCGUCCCCACCGUGCUAGCCUACCUCGCGCCGGCGCCGUCCAACGAGGCUCUCAAGGAAGGCCUUCUCAAGGCCGUCGCGCCGUAUCCCCACCUGGCGGGGCGCCUCGCCGUCGAUCAGCUCGGCCGGCGCUUCCUCCACGUGAAUAACGAAGGCGUGCUCCUAAUUGAGACCACGGUACCGGCUAACCUGGCGGACGUGCUCGUACAAGGCCGCAUAGCCACCGGAGUCGACCACCUCUACCCUACAGUACCAGAGCCAGAGGAGAACAAUGGGGACGCGCUGCUGCAGAUCCAGCUGAACAGGUACGGGUGCGGAGGUCUUGUGGUCGGGAUGUGCUCCCACCACCGUGUCGCCGACGGCCACUCCAUGAGCAUGUUCUUCACCGCGUGGGCAACAGCGGUCCGCGAGGGUAUGGACUUCAUCAUGCCGACCGCAUUCCUCAACCGUGCGGAAACCGCCUUGCCGCGAAGCUCGCCGACCCCGGUGUUCGACCACCGCUCAGUGGAAUUCACGUGCAGAGAAGGAACCGUCGUCCCCGUGGAGAGGAUAAAAAACCUCACGGUGCACUUCACAGCCGAGUUCGUCGCCAAUCUCAAAGCCCGUGUUUGUGCCCGCUGCAGCACGUUCCAGUGCCUGCUCGCGCACGUCUGGAAGAAGAUGACGAGGCUCGGGAUCUGA